UGGCGGACGGGUGAGUAACGCGUGGAAAACCUGCCGUAUACUGGGGGAUAACACUUAGAAAUAGGUGCUAGUACCGCAUAAGCGCACAGCUUCGCAUGAAGCGGUGUGAAAAACUCUGGUGGUAUACGAUGGUUCCGCGUCUGAUUAGCUAGUUGGUGGGGUAAUGGCCUACCAAGGCAACGAUCAGUAGCCGGCCUGAGAGGGUGAACGGCCACAUUGGGACUGAGACACGGCCCAAACUCCUACGGGAGGCAGCAG
This 258-nucleotide ribosomal RNA is filed under the name uncultured bacterium. Its description in RNAcentral is "partial 16S ribosomal RNA". It matches the Rfam family "Bacterial small subunit ribosomal RNA", at positions 96 to 354 of the family's 1533-position model. The record is from RNAcentral.